RNAcentral lists this ribosomal RNA (119 nucleotides) under Lepisosteus oculatus (spotted gar). The record is from RNAcentral. Lineage: Eukaryota; Metazoa; Chordata; Actinopteri; Semionotiformes; Lepisosteidae.
GCCAGCAGCCAUAUCACUCUGCAACUCACAACUAGCAACCCACUGAAGCUAAGCAGGUGUGAGCCUGGUCAGUACUUGGAUGUGAGACCUGCUGGAAGAAACUAAGGUUGCUGCUGGAA